This 1489-nucleotide ribosomal RNA is filed under the name Lactiplantibacillus argentoratensis. Its description in RNAcentral is "bacterial SSU rRNA". It matches the Rfam family "Bacterial small subunit ribosomal RNA". The record is from RNAcentral. Lineage: Bacteria; Bacillati; Bacillota; Bacilli; Lactobacillales; Lactobacillaceae.
GACGAACGCUGGCGGCGUGCCUAAUACAUGCAAGUCGAACGAACUCUGGUAUUGAUUGGUGCUUGCAUCAUGAUUUACAUUUGAGUGAGUGGCGAACUGGUGAGUAACACGUGGGAAACCUGCCCAGAAGCGGGGGAUAACACCUGGAAACAGAUGCUAAUACCGCAUAACAACUUGGACCGCAUGGUCCGAGCUUGAAAGAUGGCUUCGGCUAUCACUUUUGGAUGGUCCCGCGGCGUAUUAGCUAGAUGGUGGGGUAACGGCUCACCAUGGCAAUGAUACGUAGCCGACCUGAGAGGGUAAUCGGCCACAUUGGGACUGAGACACGGCCCAAACUCCUACGGGAGGCAGCAGUAGGGAAUCUUCCACAAUGGACGAAAGUCUGAUGGAGCAACGCCGCGUGAGUGAAGAAGGGUUUCGGCUCGUAAAACUCUGUUGUUAAAGAAGAACAUAUCUGAGAGUAACUGUUCAGGUAUUGACGGUAUUUAACCAGAAAGCCACGGCUAACUACGUGCCAGCAGCCGCGGUAAUACGUAGGUGGCAAGCGUUGUCCGGAUUUAUUGGGCGUAAAGCGAGCGCAGGCGGUUUUUUAAGUCUGAUGUGAAAGCCUUCGGCUUAACCGAAGAAGUGCAUCGGAAACUGGGAAACUUGAGUGCAGAAGAGGACAGUGGAACUCCAUGUGUAGCGGUGAAAUGCGUAGAUAUAUGGAAGAACACCAGUGGCGAAGGCGGCUGUCUGGUCUGUAACUGACGCUGAGGCUCGAAAGUAUGGGUAGCAAACAGGAUUAGAUACCCUGGUAGUCCAUACCGUAAACGAUGAAUGCUAAGUGUUGGAGGGUUUCCGCCCUUCAGUGCUGCAGCUAACGCAUUAAGCAUUCCGCCUGGGGAGUACGGCCGCAAGGCUGAAACUCAAAGGAAUUGACGGGGGCCCGCACAAGCGGUGGAGCAUGUGGUUUAAUUCGAAGCUACGCGAAGAACCUUACCAGGUCUUGACAUACUAUGCAAAUCUAAGAGAUUAGACGUUCCCUUCGGGGACAUGGAUACAGGUGGUGCAUGGUUGUCGUCAGCUCGUGUCGUGAGAUGUUGGGUUAAGUCCCGCAACGAGCGCAACCCUUAUUAUCAGUUGCCAGCAUUAAGUUGGGCACUCUGGUGAGACUGCCGGUGACAAACCGGAGGAAGGUGGGGAUGACGUCAAAUCAUCAUGCCCCUUAUGACCUGGGCUACACACGUGCUACAAUGGAUGGUACAACGAGUUGCGAACUCGCGAGAGUAAGCUAAUCUCUUAAAGCCAUUCUCAGUUCGGAUUGUAGGCUGCAACUCGCCUACAUGAAGUCGGAAUCGCUAGUAAUCGCGGAUCAGCAUGCCGCGGUGAAUACGUUCCCGGGCCUUGUACACACCGCCCGUCACACCAUGAGAGUUUGUAACACCCAAAGUCGGUGGGGUAACCUUUUAGGAACCAGCCGCCUAAGGUGGGACAGAUGAUCAGGGUG